GGAAGUCUAGUUAAAAUAAAUAACAAAAGAAUGUCAUUCUUUAAUUACAUUAGUGUCUUUCU
RNAcentral lists this transfer RNA (62 nucleotides) under Amblyomma americanum (Lone Star tick). RNAcentral's name for it is "tRNA-Asp". The record is from RNAcentral. Lineage: Eukaryota; Metazoa; Arthropoda; Arachnida; Ixodida; Ixodidae.